AUUCCCUCUCACAGCAGAUUCUCAGAGUGCGAAGAGGCCGUGAAGCCAAGUGCCAGACAAAACUCUCCGAGGGACCCUUACAGCUCGCCCUGCUCUACAGAAAAGAGUGCCCGCUUCCUUUCAGAAAGCGAAGGAAUUUUUCAUGCUUGGUGUCUGCUUAAGACAGUGCAAAGCAACUUGAGACCAAAGUCACUUCACCUCCACCCUGAGCUAAAGAGACAGACGGACGCUACGAGCUCAGUGUGUGCUGUGAAGAACAGAACAGAGGCUGGAGAGAGGGGGAAGUGGUUAAGAGACUGAGGGGCUUACAGAACACGCACAUGCUCACUCUCUCUCUCUCUCACACACAGGCACACACACGCAUAAGCAUGCACGAGUGCGCACACACACAGAUCUUAAUACAACACCAUGAAGAUCUCGCAGAUGGCCUCGCAGAUGAGCCACACUGAGGAAAGCCACCCUGCUCCCCAGCCUCGUGGGCUGAACUAGUUCAGGUUACCUUGGUGACUCAAAACAGGCUUCUCUAGCCUAGCACGGCUCCUCUGAGAGGCUCUACCAGCAGCUGACUGAGACAGAUGCAGAUACUCACAGCCCAGCACUGGACUAAGGGCCCUGGAGAUGAAACUCGGGUCGUCGGGGUUGAUGGCAAGUGCCUUUACCCACAGAGCCAGCUACUGUUGGCUGGGCUCACGGGUGUGGAACCCAUGGAAACAGAGGGCCAGCUCCAAGGACUGAAGCUAUGUCAUGCCAACAACCCAACAUUGUGUUAAGUGGUGGGUAAGGGGCUCCACACCUGUAGGCUCCGACUUCCCCAGUGGUUCAGAAUCCUCCCCUAUGGCUACAUCACCUAAUGCUCUAUCUGCCAAACUUCCCCAAACUCAGACAAAAAUCUAGAAACUUCAAGUACUGUCUCUUGAAUCCACUGGAAUGUACCCCAUAAUGUAGCAUUGUGACCAGUCUUUAUAACUCAACUAAAAUAUGCUUUUAUCUGCAAGGCUUUAAAUUUGAUUUGAAUGAAAGGCAGAGG
Long non-coding RNA from Mus musculus (house mouse), 1027 nucleotides. RefSeq annotates it as predicted gene, 52239. The record is from RefSeq and is a predicted model, not a curated record. NCBI's taxonomy places the organism in Eukaryota, Metazoa, Chordata, Mammalia, Rodentia, Muridae. The transcript has 4 exons.